RNAcentral lists this long non-coding RNA (3352 nucleotides) under Homo sapiens (human). Its description in RNAcentral is "non-protein coding lnc-ALS2CL-1:1". Lineage: Eukaryota; Metazoa; Chordata; Mammalia; Primates; Hominidae. The record is from RNAcentral.
CUGCAGCUCAUGCCAGGGCAUGUGAAGACAGAGCUAACUGGAGUGCAUGGGGUGCCUUUGGGUGGAGGUUGCUGAUGGCUGGGACAGAUGCACCCUGCCCACUGUCUCCUCUGGGGACAGUGACAUCUUUCCCUGCUCUGAUAGCUUGAAAGGACCUGCAUGGCUGAGCUGCCCAGGGGAGCAUUGAGGUGCUUCCUCUGUGUCCUGAGGAGCCAGGUGCUCUCUGCACCCCCAGCUGCUGGAGCCCAGAGGGUGGCAGCCUGGAGCUGGGGCAGCGGUGCCUGGUGCAGUGAGGACUCGGUCUGUGUGGCCUGGUUAGCACAGGACCAUGAGGAAGGGGUGAGGACCAUCAAUAAGAGGCCAUCUCCAAGGCCUGCCUUCAGAGGCAAGCUCUUCUCUCCCACACAAUUGCUUUGAUCCUCGUGGGAAAUGUGGUGGACCCUUUUAAGGGGCGGCAGAGAGCACUGGAGGAGAGAGAAAGGGGCCAGCAGGCACAUGGGAGAUACCUUGACCUCAGGGAACCACUGUUUCAAACCAGAAAGGAUCUUUUAUACCUUGCUGUCAUGCAGCCAAACCAGGCGGACAUACGAGCAAGCAGGUGCACCCACGCAUCUGUACAUGAGCAGUGCGGACAAGUGGCUGCAGGAGGCCCCCGGCCUGUCUCAGGCACUAGCACAGGACUAUUCAUCACUGGUUCCUGCAUUUCUUUCAGGUUUGGCCAAGGCAUCCCCAGGGACAAGCACGGAUGACAGCAGAUGCUGCUGUCUCUUGGGGCCUGCACCUCGGCAGAGGCUGAUUCCAGCUUGCAGUUCUCCGCCACUUGCAGGUUGCCCUGGAGUUUGCAGUAUGCAUUUACAACUAAUCCAAGUCCACUUUGAAAUAAUUCUAUACUGCUUCAAGGUCAUGGAGGACAUUCAGGACUUGAGCACUUACCAAAUCACCUUUGAAGUGGAGCCCUGUGUGUGCUGAGACCACUAGGACCCUGGAACGGGUGCCCGUCACUCACAGAGCCUGUCAGCUUCAGAGGCUGGAAAUGGAAAUCCCAGGCCUACUUGUACACAGGAAUCUCCUGGAGCGAGGAUGUCCUCUUUUCUGAUACCCGCAGAACUGGCAUUUAAGGGGAUGCCUGUGCAGUAUAGCGAAGGAUAGAGCCUCAGAAAUAGCCCUUCUGGAUCAAUCACGUCUCUAGUUUCUAUAAAUGGAAGCUUAACAUCUGCUCUGCAUGUGUAUGCCAGAUCCACCUUGUUCUGGACAACCCUGUGACAUGCCUGAGUCACCCAGCCUUGGCCCUUCCCUGCUCACUGCCUCCUCUCCCUCCUUCGAGAGAAGUCAUCCUCCCAGGAAUGUGCUUUUCAAAUACAAACCAACCAAUCCAGAGUCCACACACCGUACUAACUGGGCUCUCAUGAUCCAGGCCACUGUCCUCCUGCCCUAAUCACCUCAGGGCCAGGUACCAGACAACCAAGGACAGCACCUGUGCCCCAGAGCCUGCGGAGAUUACCUACUCACCCUGCCUCGCCCAUUCCUUCCUGCAGAAAACACAACUCAGACUCUUGCCCACAGUUCCCCAGCCCCUCUUGUGACUGACCCUGGUGCCUCCCCAUGUGACCCCACCAUGGCAUCAUGGGGGCUCCCUCUCUUGGGACCUGUUGGCAUGAUAAGCUAUGUUUCCAAUAGCAGUCAUCUCCUCAUCUCGGCCUCAUCACACCUAAAGAAUAAUAAAACCCGUUGAAACACCUUCAACUCAACAGGACAGACUGGCCCAUUGGAAUCAUUUAGACUUGCAGACAUUUUGUUCAUGCUGUACAGCGUUUCUUCCAGGUACUCUGUUUCGCAGCAGAAAGAGCAGGGCUGAGAUUCACAGACCUGACUUCAGAUCCCCCUUCUAUCACUUACUAGCAUGUGGUCAUCUAUAAUUUACAUAGAUGUGGAAUAAUCCACAGUUUUGAGUAUUUUACUCUCUAGACCUGUGGAAAAUUACUGCUUCCUUUAGUCCUAAAUGUGGAAAAGAAAAUUUGUGUUUAUAUUGUGCCACAAUCUGGGGGGAGGGAGGGAGGGAGAAAAAUGUCAUAUCUGAAACACUCAAAUGAAAACCUUAUAUGUUACUACAUACAUAAAUAUUCAUAUUUAUAGAUAUGUAAAUGUUUAUUUAAAUGUCAGUGGCACCUUCAUUAUUGCGGAUAAGUAGCCCUGGGUGAACAGUCUGUAUUUAUCAACAUCGAGAUUGAAAUUAAGGCUAACCAUUGACCUCAGCCUGCAAUUGACGUAGUUGACGCACUCUUUCAGAGUCAGAUGAUAGUUCAUCAGUAAAAUGAGAAUAAUAAUAACUACUUCCUAAUAUGGUACAGGAUUAAUUGAGAUACAUUUUGUAAAGGACUCCAAAGGAUGUCUUACACAAAGGAGAAGCUUAAGGAGCUCAUCCCUCUAACUCAGUCACCUGAAGAUCUCAUGGGUAAAGUCAGAGACAUCCUCACCCUGAAGAGAGUAGUGCAGGCAAGUGUGGGAAUGCUGUGUGUGGCAGAGACGACCCUGACCCUGGUCUUCUAAAUCAUUUAGAAGAACCGUGUUCUUUCUGAUGAAGAUUCCCACCUGAAAAUGUUCAUAUCAAGGUGACUGAUGUUCUAGAGCAGCAUUGUCCAGCGAAACUUUCUUCAGUGAUGGGAAGGUCCUGUGCCUCUGCUGUCCAGGAUGGCAUCCACUCCCACCUUUACCUACUGAGCACUUGAAAUGUGGCGACUGCAACUGAGGAGCUGAAUUUUUUUAUUUAAUUUAAAUUUAAGUUUAAAUUUAGGGAACCACAUGUGGCUCAUAGCUACCACGUUGGCAUAGACCUAGAGCUCAUCUAAAAAGUGAAACAAGUGUGGAUCCUCCUAUAACUAAGAAAAAAGAAAACUUACCCUUUCAUCUUGAGGUAGGAGGUGGGACUCAAUUCUGGAAGCAGGGCUCAGACAUUGGACCAAAUUGAGGACUAGUUAAAAUAGGAACUAGGAAUGGGGUGGAGACACCUUUCCAUAAGACAUGCCCACCAGUGUGCCAUGUCAAUUUACCAUUGUUGUGGCAACACCUGGAAGUUACCACCCCUUUCCAUGGCAAUGACCUGAUGACCCAGAAGUUACCACCCCUUUUCUAGAAAUUUCUGCAUAACACGCCCCUUAAUUUAUAUAUAAUUAAAAAUAGGUCUAAAUAUGACUACAGACCUGUCUCUGAGCUGCCACUCUGGGCACACUGCCUAUGGGGUAGCCCUGCUCCACAAGGAGUUAUACCUCUGCUGCUUCUAUACACAGCCGCUUCAAUAAAAGUUGCUGUCUAUCACCACUGGCUCACCCUUGAAUCCUUUCCCAGGCAAAGCCAA